This 496-nucleotide ribosomal RNA is filed under the name uncultured bacterium. RNAcentral describes it as "partial 16S ribosomal RNA". It matches the Rfam family "Bacterial small subunit ribosomal RNA", at positions 28 to 506 of the family's 1533-position model. The record is from RNAcentral.
GAUGAACGCUGGCGGCGUGCCUAAUACAUGCAAGUCGAGCGAACGGACGAGAAGCUUGCUUCUCUGAUGUUAGCGGCGGACGGGUGAGUAACACGUGGAUAACCUACCUAUAAGACUGGGAUAACUUCGGGAAACCGGAGCUAAUACCGGAUAAUAUUUUGAACCGCAUGGUUCAAAAGUGAAAGACGGUCUUGCUGUCACUUAUAGAUGGAUCCGCGCUGCAUUAGCUAGUUGGUAAGGUAACGGCUUACCAAGGCAACGAUGCAUAGCCGACCUGAGAGGGUGAUCGGCCACCCUGGAACGGAGACACGGUCCAGACUCCUACGGGAGGCAGCAGUAGGGAAUCUUCCGAAAUGGGCGAAAGCCUGACGGAGCAACGCCGCGUGAGUGAUGAAGGUCUUCGGAUCGUAAAACUCUGUUAUUAGGGAAGAACAUAUGUGUAAGUAACUGUGCACAUCUUGACGGUACCUAAGCAGAAAGCCACGGCUAACUACGU